AUACGGAGGAUGCAAGCGUUAUCCGGAUUUAUUGGGUUUAAAGGGUGCGUAGGCGGGACUGUAAGUCAGGGGUGAAAUACUGCAGCUUAACUGUAGCAUUGCCUUUGAAAAUGCCGUUCUUGAGUACAGUUGAGGUAGGCGGAAUGUGGUGUGUAGCGGUGAAAUGCAUAGAUAUACCACAGAACGCCGAUUGCGAAGGCAGCUUACUAAGCUGUUACUGACGCUGAUGCACGAAAGCGUGGGGAUCAAACAGGAUUAGAUACCCUGGUAGUCCACGCUGUAAACGAUGAUUACUGGUUGUUAGCGAUAUAUAGCUAGUGACUGAGCGAAAGCAUUAAGUAAUCCACCUGGGGAGUACGUCGGCAACGAUGAAACUCAAAUGAAUUGGCGGGG
Molecule: ribosomal RNA, 393 nt
Filed under: uncultured bacterium
Lineage: Bacteria
Description: partial 16S ribosomal RNA
Rfam family: Bacterial small subunit ribosomal RNA
Source: RNAcentral